Molecule: transfer RNA, 68 nt
Filed under: Marmota marmota marmota (Alpine marmot)
Lineage: Eukaryota; Metazoa; Chordata; Mammalia; Rodentia; Sciuridae
Also listed under: 2 other names
Rfam family: tRNA
About the family: Transfer RNA (tRNA) molecules are approximately 80 nucleotides in length. Their secondary structure includes four short double-helical elements and three loops (D, anti-codon, and T loops).
Source: Rfam by way of RNAcentral
GGAGAUAUAGCUCAGUGGUAGAGCGCUUGCCUAGCAUGUGCAAGGCCCUGGGUUCAAUUCCCAGUCCA